GGGCUUAUCCCCUUCAAAUCAGAAAUUUGCCAUCCGAUGGCCUUCUUGUGCUUUCUAAGGAUUCUUAGAAGAUUGUCCUCUUGUGAAACGGUUAAAGAAGAAGAAAUUACCACCGAGGCUUUAUUGCCUUCCUCCAACUAAGCAUACUUCAACUCGGCAGGAAGGGUCUUCAAUUCAAGCUUAAGGAUUGCAUCCUUAGCUUCUUUCAUCUCUUCCUCAUCCUUGAACAAAAGGAGGAUCACUGGCUUUUGUCUCCAGUUUGACAUAACGGCAUUCAUUCCCAUGGGUUCAGCUAACCCAUCAUCAAGAUCUUCAUGGCUUUCAUCUGAAUUCUCUUCAAACUGAUCAAGGAUACUCUGAUUACAAUGCUCCUCCACCAGGGUAUCUAUCAUACACACUUCUUCCGGGCCCUCAUCUUCUUCAGGAUGGAUGUGCUUUUGACAUAGAUGGAAGAUGUUGAGUUCCAAUGUCAUAUUCCCAAAAGUGAGUUGCAUGACCCCAUUCCUACAAUUGAUGAUUGCAUUGGAUGUUGCAAGGAAUGGUCUUCCAAGGAUGAUUGGAACAUAGUUGAUCCCUUUGACAAUGGGAUCCGUAUCAAGCACCACAAAAUCUACUGGAUAGUAGAAUUUGUCAACUUGAACCAAUACAUCCU
Molecule: long non-coding RNA, 652 nt
Filed under: Vitis vinifera (wine grape)
Lineage: Eukaryota; Viridiplantae; Streptophyta; Magnoliopsida; Vitales; Vitaceae
Description: long non-coding RNA (VVIN_LNC003506)
Source: RNAcentral